UACACAUCAUUCAAUGGAUCCUGAAGCUGAUUAUGACUGAUAUUUAAGUAUUGAAGAGAAGUCAUCAAUGAAACGGAAUAAGGAAUGCCUUUAUUGAAGUUGUUUCGUGCAAGAUUUAGUCUUUUUAGAUUAGGUGGAAGGUUGUAGACAAUCUCGCCUCCAAAAUUGUUACUACUCACAUCCAGGUUGGUUACCGAUGUCAUACUUCCAAGCUGGUAUCCGAGCGAUCCACUGAGUCCAAGGCCAGAUAAGUUUAUUUCUG
RNAcentral lists this unclassified non-coding RNA (262 nucleotides) under Hevea brasiliensis (rubber tree). Lineage: Eukaryota; Viridiplantae; Streptophyta; Magnoliopsida; Malpighiales; Euphorbiaceae. The record is from RNAcentral.